Molecule: ribosomal RNA, 253 nt
Filed under: uncultured bacterium
Lineage: Bacteria
Description: partial 16S ribosomal RNA
Rfam family: Bacterial small subunit ribosomal RNA
Source: RNAcentral
GACAGAGGGUGCAAACGUUGUUCGGAAUUACUGGGCGUAAAGCGUGUGUAGGCGGCCAUAUAAGUCGGAUGUGAAAGCCCCAGGCUCAACCUGGGAAGUGCACUCGAUACUGUAUGGCUUGAGUAUCGGAGAGGUUGGUGGAAUUCUCGGUGUAGAGGUGAAAUUCGUAGAUAUCGAGAGGAACACCGGUGGCGAAGGCGGCCAACUGGACGAAUACUGACGCUGAGACACGAAAGCGUGGGGAGCGAACAGG